UACGUAGGGGGCUAGCGUUGUCCGGAAUCAUUGGGCGUAAAGCGCGCGUAGGCGGCCAGAUAAGUCCGGUGUGAAAGUCACAGGCUCAACCUGUGAAUGCCGCUGGAAACUGUCUGGCUAGAGUCCGGAAGGGGCGAGUGGAAUUCCUGGUGUAGCGGUGAAAUGCGCAGAUAUCAGGAGGAACACCAGCGGCGAAGGCGGCGCUCUGGGCCGGAACUGACGCUGAGGAGCGAAAGCAUGGGGAGCGAACAGG
RNAcentral lists this ribosomal RNA (253 nucleotides) under uncultured bacterium. RNAcentral's name for it is "partial 16S ribosomal RNA". It matches the Rfam family "Bacterial small subunit ribosomal RNA", at positions 524 to 776 of the family's 1533-position model. The record is from RNAcentral.